CUGCUGCCUUCCGUAGGAGUUUGGACCGUGUCUCAGUUCCAAUGUGGGGGACCUUCCUCUCAGAACCCCUAUCCAUCGAUGCCUUGGUGGGCCGUUACCCCGCCAACAAGCUAAUGGAACGCAUCCCCAUCGAUGACCGAAAUUCUUUAAUAGUUCUACCAUGCGGAAGAACUAUGCCAUCGGGUAUUAAUCUUCCUUUCGAAAGGCUAUCCCGAGUAUGAGGCAGGUUGGAUACGUGUUACUCACCCGUGCGCCGGUCGCCA
RNAcentral lists this ribosomal RNA (263 nucleotides) under uncultured bacterium. Its description in RNAcentral is "partial 16S ribosomal RNA". The record is from RNAcentral.